UACGUAGGGGGCAAGCGGUUGCCCGGAAUUAUUGGGCGUAAAGAGCAGCGUAGACGGUAGCGUAAGUCAGAUGUGAAAGCCCCGGGCUACAACCUGGGGAACUGCCAUUUGAGACUGCUCUGCUCGGGGUGCGGAAGAGGGAAGCGGAAUUUCCGGUGUAGCGGUGAAAGUGACGUAGAUAUCGGAAGGAACACCAGUGGCGAAAGCGGACUUCCUGGUCCGACGACCGACGUCAGGCACGAAAGCGUGGGGAGCAAACAGG
RNAcentral lists this ribosomal RNA (262 nucleotides) under uncultured bacterium. RNAcentral's name for it is "partial 16S ribosomal RNA". It matches the Rfam family "Bacterial small subunit ribosomal RNA", at positions 524 to 776 of the family's 1533-position model. The record is from RNAcentral.